GGUACGUAGUUAGCCGGGACUUAUUCCUGAGGUACCGUCAUUAUCGUCCCUCAGAAAGGAUUUACAACCGAAGGCCUUCAUCAUCCACGCGGCGUUGCUGCGUCAGGGUUUCCCCCAUUGCGCAAUAUUCCUC
This 133-nucleotide ribosomal RNA is filed under the name uncultured bacterium. RNAcentral's name for it is "partial 16S ribosomal RNA". The record is from RNAcentral.